This 304-nucleotide ribosomal RNA is filed under the name uncultured bacterium. Its description in RNAcentral is "partial 16S ribosomal RNA". It matches the Rfam family "Bacterial small subunit ribosomal RNA", at positions 506 to 807 of the family's 1533-position model. The record is from RNAcentral.
CAGCAGCAGCCACGGGAAUACGUAGGUGGCAAGCGUUGUCCGGAAUUAUUGGGCGUAAAGGGCUCGCAGGCGGUUUCUUAAGUCUGAUGUGAAAGCCCCCGGCUCAACCGGGGAGGGUCAUUGGAAACUGGGAAACUUGAGUGCAGAAGAGGAGAGUGGAAUUCCACGUGUAGCGGUGAAAUGCGUAGAGAUGUGGAGGAACACCAGUGGCGAAGGCGACUCUCUGGUCUGUAACUGACGCUGAGGAGCGAAAGCGUGGGGAGCGAACAGGAUUAGAGACCCCUGUAGUCCCUGUCUCUUAUAC